AGCUGACUAUUGGGGGGGAAGGAUCUCUUUUGGCAAUUGCUUCUCUUGGAGUCUUAGUGAGCCUGGGACAAGGGAUGUACAGAAAUCUAAAGAAUAAGGGAAGACUGAAGGUCUAAAACAGCCUUAAAGGAACAGCUGUGGGAGAAAACAAGGAGAAGCUGAGGCAUCAUGUUGAAAUGGAGCAAAGGGAACUAAUUUGAGCUAUCCAAUUGUACAACACUUCUGAACUGCAGUUUCUGAAGCCUACAGUAAUUUAACACGUGUCAUGGAGCACUUAGAGAUGUAAUAAAAAUCCUGUUUAUUACCAGUGCA
Long non-coding RNA from Phasianus colchicus (ring-necked pheasant), 312 nucleotides. RefSeq lists it as uncharacterized. The record is from RefSeq and is a predicted model, not a curated record. NCBI's taxonomy places the organism in Eukaryota, Metazoa, Chordata, Aves, Galliformes, Phasianidae.